This 1311-nucleotide ribosomal RNA is filed under the name Salmonella enterica. RNAcentral describes it as "partial 23S ribosomal RNA". It matches the Rfam family "Bacterial large subunit ribosomal RNA", at positions 1513 to 2802 of the family's 2925-position model. Lineage: Bacteria; Pseudomonadati; Pseudomonadota; Gammaproteobacteria; Enterobacterales; Enterobacteriaceae. RNAcentral also lists the same sequence under 2 other names. The record is from RNAcentral.
UAAGCGUGUAGGUGUGUGUUCCAGGUAAAUCCGGUUCACUUUAACACUGAGGCGUGACGACGAGGCACUACGGUGCUGAAGCAACAAAUGCCCUGCUUCCAGGAAAAGCCUCUAAGCAUCAGGUAACAUCAAAUCGUACCCCAAACCGACACAGGUGGUCAGGUAGAGAAUACCAAGGCGCUUGAGAGAACUCGGGUGAAGGAACUAGGCAAAAUGGUGCCGUAACUUCGGGAGAAGGCACGCUGACACGUAGGUGAAGUGAUUUACUCAUGGAGCUGAAGUCAGUCGAAGAUACCAGCUGGCUGCAACUGUUUAUUAAAAACACAGCACUGUGCAAACACGAAAGUGGACGUAUACGGUGUGACGCCUGCCCGGUGCCGGAAGGUUAAUUGAUGGGGUCAGCGCAAGCGAAGCUCCUGAUCGAAGCCCCGGUAAACGGCGGCCGUAACUAUAACGGUCCUAAGGUAGCGAAAUUCCUUGUCGGGUAAGUUCCGACCUGCACGAAUGGCGUAAUGAUGGCCAGGCUGUCUCCACCCGAGACUCAGUGAAAUUGAACUCGCUGUGAAGAUGCAGUGUACCCGCGGCAAGACGGAAAGACCCCGUGAACCUUUACUAUAGCUUGACACUGAACAUUGAGCCUUGAUGUGUAGGAUAGGUGGGAGGCUUUGAAGUGUGGACGCCAGUCUGCAUGGAGCCGACCUUGAAAUACCACCCUUUAAUGUUUGAUGUUCUAACGUGGACCCGUUACCCGGGUUGCGGACAGUGUCUGGUGGGUAGUUUGACUGGGGCGGUCUCCUCCUAAAGAGUAACGGAGGAGCACGAAGGUUGGCUAAUCCUGGUCGGACAUCAGGAGGUUAGUGCAAUGGCAUAAGCCAGCUUGACUGCGAGCGUGACGGCGCGAGCAGGUGCGAAAGCAGGUCAUAGUGAUCCGGUGGUUCUGAAUGGAAGGGCCAUCGCUCAACGGAUAAAAGGUACUCCGGGGAUAACAGGCUGAUACCGCCCAAGAGUUCAUAUCGACGGCGGUGUUUGGCACCUCGAUGUCGGCUCAUCACAUCCUGGGGCUGAAGUAGGUCCCAAGGGUAUGGCUGUUCGCCAUUUAAAGUGGUACGCGAGCUGGGUUUAGAACGUCGUGAGACAGUUCGGUCCCUAUCUGCCGUGGGCGCUGGAGAACUGAGGGGGGCUGCUCCUAGUACGAGAGGACCGGAGUGGACGCAUCACUGGUGUUCGGGUUGUCAUGCCAAUGGCACUGCCCGGUAGCUAAAUGCGGAAGAGAUAAGUGCUGAAAGCAUCUAAGCACGAAACUUGCCCCGA